ACUGAGUGGCGGACGGGUGAGUAACGCGUGAGUAACCUGCCCUUAGGAAAGGGAUAGCGUCUGGAAACGGACGGUAAUACCAUAUAAAGUAUAUUAACGGCAUCGUAGAUAUACCAAAGCUGAGGCGCCUAAGGAUGGACCCGCGUCUGAUUAGAUAGUUGGUGGGGUAACGGCCUACCAAGUCGACGAUCAGUAGCCGGACUGAGAGGUUGAACGGCCACAUUGGGACUGAGACACGGCCCAGACUCCUACGGAAGGCAGCAG
RNAcentral lists this ribosomal RNA (264 nucleotides) under uncultured bacterium. Its description in RNAcentral is "partial 16S ribosomal RNA". It matches the Rfam family "Bacterial small subunit ribosomal RNA", at positions 90 to 354 of the family's 1533-position model. The record is from RNAcentral.